Molecule: ribosomal RNA, 497 nt
Filed under: uncultured bacterium
Lineage: Bacteria
Description: partial 16S ribosomal RNA
Rfam family: Bacterial small subunit ribosomal RNA
Source: RNAcentral
GAUGAACGCUGGCGGCGUGCCUAAUACAUGCAAGUCGAGCGAACAGACGAGGAGCUUGCUCCUCUGACGUUAGCGGCGGACGGGUGAGUAACACGUGGAUAACCUACCUAUAAGACUGGGAUAACUUCGGGAAACCGGAGCUAAUACCGGAUAAUAUAUUGAACCGCAUGGUUCAAUAGUGAAAGACGGUUUUGCUGUCACUUAUAGAUGGAUCCGCGCCGCAUUAGCUAGUUGGUAAGGUAACGGCUUACCAAGACAACGAUGCGUAGCCGACCUGAGAGGGUGAUCGGCCGCACUGGAACUGAGACACGGUCCAGACUCCUACGGGAGACAGCAGUAGGGAAUCUUCCGCAAUGGGCGAAAGCUUGACGGAGCAACGCCGCGUGAGUGAUGAAGGUCUUCGGAUCGUAAAACUCUGUUAUUAGGGAAGAACAAAUGUGUAAGUAACUAUGCACGUCUUGACGGUACCUAAUCAGAAAGCCACGGCUAACUACGUG